UUUAUUUUAGUAUUCAACAUUAAGGUAACUGCAAACAUAUUGUUAAAAGAAAAUAAAAGGUACUUCUUGGGCUCUAGUCUGCAAUAACUUAAAGAAAUGGACCCAGA
Molecule: non-coding RNA, 107 nt
Organism: Heterocephalus glaber (naked mole-rat)
Lineage: Eukaryota; Metazoa; Chordata; Mammalia; Rodentia; Bathyergidae
Source: Rfam